Long non-coding RNA from Piliocolobus tephrosceles (Ugandan red Colobus), 795 nucleotides. RefSeq lists it as uncharacterized. The record is from RefSeq and is a predicted model, not a curated record. The transcript is spliced from 4 exons. NCBI's taxonomy places the organism in Eukaryota, Metazoa, Chordata, Mammalia, Primates, Cercopithecidae.
GGGCCUGGAGGGGAAGGCACGGAGAGACGGAGAGGUGAGGGCUGGCCAGGAGGCAGAGCGAAGGCGAAGCGGGAAUCUCUGCAGCCAGGGCACCCUUGCUGCAUCGAAGGAAUACAGGACUCAGAGCCAGCUCCUGUCUCUCAGAUGGAGCCUUGCUACGUUGCCCAGGCUGGUCUCCAACUCCUGGCCUUAAGCGACCGUCCUGCUUUGGCCUCGCAAAGCACUGGGAUUACAGGCAUGAGCCACCGCACCCAGCCAAUGUUCUCACACUUUCUGAGGGCAUCCUCCCUCCAACCAGGCACCUGCCUUCACAUGCAGACUUUCCGCCCCACCAGCCACAGAACCUGUGUUCACAAAUGCAGGUGCACACAAACCAGAGGCAGCCAGUGGAAAAGUGGAUGAACCCUGGGAACUCUUCCCUGAUGUGAUGGCUUUGGAAGCAGCUGAACUCAGGGACUCAUCUUUGGAGCGGGACUGUACCCUGAGGGCAGGGGUUGCUUUCUGAGAACCUGGGAGGACCCCUUGAACCACACAAGUGGAAGUCAUUCAACAUCUGCUAGCCUCAACAGCCCCUUCUGAAGACAGCAAAAGAAAGGGCCGGGUCCCUGGAUGCGUGGAGGCAGGACCUGGGACUCGUGGACCUGCUUGCACUUCCGGCUUCUGAGAGAGCUCUGGGGUGGGGGUCAUGGAUAAAAGGCUCUUUCUUUGGACAAAUGUUUGCUUUCCACUUUCCCCCACCCUCUCACUUCACAUUCUCCACCUGAGUCUCAUGGGUGGCCUCGAAAAGGCCUUUCC